RNAcentral lists this long non-coding RNA (356 nucleotides) under Homo sapiens (human). RNAcentral describes it as "HSALNT0240313". The record is from RNAcentral. Lineage: Eukaryota; Metazoa; Chordata; Mammalia; Primates; Hominidae.
GAUGUUCUUUGGUGUCUAGUCCCUUGUCUCAUGUCUAAUGUAACCUGCCAUUUUCCUUUACAGGUAGGAGCAACGGUGGGAAUGCCCUCUGAGGAAUGCAGUGAUGUCCAUCAGUCACCUCUCACCCAGAGCCUGGCAAAUUCAGUCUCUUUCACAGAACCUAAAGCCAAGCCAGGUUCAGUGGGAAAUCCCACCUGUCCAAACACUGUGUGAGACACCAGAAUUAGAGGCCUGCAAGCCUGCUUCCUUCAUCCCCAAUGCCCAGAUGGGACAGGUCACCAGCCUCCUGUGUCUACCCCCACCUUUCUUGCUUGCUGUGCCUCUCUCAUCCCUGCAAUCCAGACAGCACAUGCAGC